RNAcentral lists this ribosomal RNA (429 nucleotides) under Chloroflexota bacterium. Its description in RNAcentral is "Chloroflexi bacterium partial 16S ribosomal RNA". It matches the Rfam family "Bacterial small subunit ribosomal RNA", at positions 355 to 776 of the family's 1533-position model. Lineage: Bacteria; Bacillati; Chloroflexota. The record is from RNAcentral.
UGGGGAAUAUUGCACAAUGGGCGCAAGCCUGAUGCAGCCAUGCCGCGUGUGUGAAGAAGGCCUUCGGGUUGUAAAGCACUUUCAGCGGGGAGGAAGGCGGUGAGGUUAAUAACCUCACCGAUUGACGUUACCCGCAGAAGAAGCACCGGCUAACUCCGUGCCAGCAGCCGCGGUAAUACGGAGGGUGCAAGCGUUAAUCGGAAUUACUGGGCGUAAAGCGCACGCAGGCGGUCUGUCAAGUCGGAUGUGAAAUCCCCGGGCUCAACCUGGGAACUGCAUCUGAUACUGGCAAGCUUGAGUCUCGUAGAGGGGGGUAGAAUUCCAGGUGUAGCGGUGAAAUGCGUAGAGAUCUGGAGGAAUACCGGUGGCGAAGGCGGCCCCCUGGACGAAGACUGACGCUCAGGUGCGAAAGCGUGGGGAGCAAACAGG